AGAGUGUAGCUCAGUUGUAGAGCACUUGCUUAGCAUGCAUGAGGUCCUGGGUUCAAUCCCCAGUACCUCUA
This 71-nucleotide transfer RNA is filed under the name Camelus bactrianus (Bactrian camel). It matches the Rfam family "tRNA". From Rfam's summary of the family: Transfer RNA (tRNA) molecules are approximately 80 nucleotides in length. Their secondary structure includes four short double-helical elements and three loops (D, anti-codon, and T loops). RNAcentral also lists the same sequence under 1 other name. Lineage: Eukaryota; Metazoa; Chordata; Mammalia; Artiodactyla; Camelidae. The record is from Rfam by way of RNAcentral.